GAUGAACGCUAGCGGCAGGCUUAAUACAUGCAAGUCGAGGGGCAGCGCGGGUAGCAAUACCUGGCGGCGACCGGCAAACGGGUGCGGAACACGUACGCAACCUUCCCAAAACUGGGGAAUAGCCCUCCGAAAGGAGGAUUAAUACCCCGUAACAUAACGAAGUGGCAUCACUUUGUUAUUAUAGUUCCGACGGUUUUGGAUGGGCGUGCGCCUGAUUAGGUAGUUGGCGGGGUAACGGCCCACCAAGCCUGCGAUCAGUAACUGGUGUGAGAGCACGACCAGUCACACGGGCACUGAGACACGGGCCCGACUCCUACGGGAGGCAGCAGUAAGGAAUAUUGGUCAAUGGACGCAAGUCUGAACCAGCCAUGCCGCGUGAAGGAUGAAGGUCCUCUGGAUUGUAAACUUCUUUUAUAUGGGACGAAAAAGGGCAUUCUUGCUCACUUGACGGUACCAUAGGAAUAAGCACCGGCUAACUCCGUG
This 483-nucleotide ribosomal RNA is filed under the name uncultured bacterium. RNAcentral describes it as "bacterial SSU rRNA". It matches the Rfam family "Bacterial small subunit ribosomal RNA", at positions 28 to 507 of the family's 1533-position model. The record is from RNAcentral.